AGCAGUCGUCGCGGUAAUACAGAGGGUGCGAGCGUUAAUCGGAUUUACUGGGCGUAAAGCGUGCGUAGGCGGCUUCUUAAGUCGGAUGUGAAAUCCCUGAGCUUAACUUAGGAAUUGCAUUCGAUACUGGGAAGCUAGAGUAUGGGAGAGGAUGGUAGAAUUCCAGGUGUAGCGGUGAAAUGCGUAGAGAUCUGGAGGAAUACCGAUGGCGAAGGCAGCCAUCUGGCCUAAUACUGACGCUGAGGUACGAAAGCAUGGGGAGCAAACAGGAUUAGAUACCCCCGUAGUCCCUGUCUCUUAUAC
This 303-nucleotide ribosomal RNA is filed under the name uncultured bacterium. RNAcentral's name for it is "partial 16S ribosomal RNA". It matches the Rfam family "Bacterial small subunit ribosomal RNA", at positions 507 to 807 of the family's 1533-position model. The record is from RNAcentral.